GGGGAUUUAGCUCAGUGGUAGAGCACUUGCCUAGCAAGCACAAGGCCCUGGGUUCGGUCCCAGCUCCG
This is a non-coding RNA of Rattus norvegicus (Norway rat), 68 nucleotides long. The record is from Rfam. NCBI's taxonomy places the organism in Eukaryota, Metazoa, Chordata, Mammalia, Rodentia, Muridae.